RNAcentral lists this transfer RNA (72 nucleotides) under Penicillium oxalicum 114-2. RNAcentral's name for it is "tRNA-Arg (CCT) (tRNA-Arg-CCT-1-1)". It matches the Rfam family "tRNA". Rfam says of the family: Transfer RNA (tRNA) molecules are approximately 80 nucleotides in length. Their secondary structure includes four short double-helical elements and three loops (D, anti-codon, and T loops). The record is from RNAcentral. Lineage: Eukaryota; Fungi; Ascomycota; Eurotiomycetes; Eurotiales; Aspergillaceae. RNAcentral also lists the same sequence under 1 other name.
GCAGCCGUGGCCUAGUCGUAAGGCGUCCGUCUCCUAAACGGAAGAUCCCGGGUUCAAAUCCCGGCGGUUGUG